Molecule: long non-coding RNA, 1371 nt
Filed under: Felis catus (domestic cat)
Lineage: Eukaryota; Metazoa; Chordata; Mammalia; Carnivora; Felidae
Description: lncRNA (ENSFCAG00000051695.1)
Source: RNAcentral
AUGGAAGGAAGGAAGGAAGGAAGGAAGAAGGAAGGAAGGAGAGAGGGAAGGAGGGAGGAAGGAGGGAGGAAGGGAGGGGGAGGAAGGAAGGCAGGAAGGGAAGGAGGGAGGAAGGAAAGGGGCAGAAGAAAGGAAGGGAGGAAAGGAGGGAGGGAGGAAGGGAGGGGGAGGAAGGAAGGAAGGAGGGAGGAAGGAAGGAAGGAAGGAAGGAGGGAGAGAGGAAAGGAGGGGGGAAGGGAGGGGGAGGAAGGAAGGGAGGAAAGGAGGGAGGGAGGAAGGAAGGAAGGAAGGAAGGAAGGAAGGAAGGAAGGAAAGGGGCAGAAGAAAGGAAGGGAGGAAAGGAGGGAGGGAGGAAGGAAGGGAGAGGAAGGAAGGAAGGGAAGGAGGGAGAGAGGAAAGGAGGGAGGAAGGAGGGAGGAAGGAAGGAAGGAGGGAGAGAGGAAAGGAGGGAGGAAGGAGGGAGAGAGGAAAGGAGGGAGGAAGGAAGGAAGGAGGGAGAGAGGGAAGGAGGGAGGAAGGAAAGGGGAGGAAGGAAGGGAGAGGAAGGAAGGAAGGAAGGAAGGGAGGAAGGAAGGAAGGAAGGAAGGAGGGAGGAAGGAAGGAAGGAAGGAAGGAAGGAGGGAGGAAGGAAAGGGGCAGAAGAAAGGAAGGGAGGAAAGGAGGGAGGGAGGAAGGAAGGAGGGGGAGGAAGGAAGGCAGGAAGGGAAGGAGGGGAGGAAGGAAGGAAGGAGGGAGGAAGGGAGGGGGAGGAAGGAAGGAAGGAGGAAGGAAGGCAGGAAGGGAAGGAGGGAGGAAGGAAAGGGGAGGAAGGAAGGAAGGAGGGAGAGAGGAAAGGAGGGAGGGAGGAAGGAAGGGAGAGGAAGGAAGGAAGGGAAGGAGGGAGAGAGGAAAGGAGGGAGGAAGGGAGGGGGAGGAAGGAAGGAAGGUAGGAAGGGAAGGAGGGAGAGAGGGAAGGAGGGAGGAAGGAAGGGGAGGAAGGAAGGGAGAGGAAGGAAGGCAGGAAGGGAAGGAGGGAGAGAGGAAAGGAGGGGGGAAGGGAGGGGGAGGAAGGAAGGAAGGAAGGAAGGGAAGGAGGGAGGAAGGAAAGGGGAGGAAGAAAGGAAGGGAGGAAGGAAGGAAGGAGGAAGGAAGGAGGAAGGAAGGGAGGAAGGAAGGAAGGGAAGGAGGGAGAGAGGAAAGGAGGGAGGAAGGGAGGGGGAGGAAGGAAGGAAGGUAGGAAGGGAAGGAGGGAGAGAGGGAAGGAGGGAGGAAGGAAGGGGAGGAAGGAAGGGAGAGGAAGGAAGGAAAGAAGGGAAGGAGGGAGAGAGGAAAGGAGGGAGGAAGGAAGGAAGGAGGGAGGAAGGAAGGAAGGGAGGCAGGCAGGCACCAUGA